This 246-nucleotide long non-coding RNA is filed under the name Elaeis guineensis (African oil palm). Its description in RNAcentral is "long non-coding RNA (EGUI_LNC030715)". The record is from RNAcentral. Lineage: Eukaryota; Viridiplantae; Streptophyta; Magnoliopsida; Arecales; Arecaceae.
UCUCUAGAAUUGGACUUUCUCUCUCUAAAAUUUUCUCUCUCCUCCUUUCUCUCUCUAAAAAGCCCUAUGGAUCUCCUAUUAGGCCAUCUUUUCCAUUCCUAGGGACCUAUGACCUUGAAUCAAUUUAGAGCCAAAAGGAGAGAUUUGUUGGACUGAUCAUCAAGUCAGUCAUCUUCUUAUAUUAUGUAAUUUUAUUAAAUAUAUGAAAUAAAAUUUAAUGAUGAUUUAAUAUUUUAAAUAGGACUG